This 255-nucleotide ribosomal RNA is filed under the name [Candida] sp. RNAcentral's name for it is "Candida sp. (in: Saccharomycetales) partial 26S ribosomal RNA". It matches the Rfam family "Eukaryotic large subunit ribosomal RNA", at positions 64 to 364 of the family's 3401-position model. The record is from RNAcentral. Lineage: Eukaryota; Fungi; Ascomycota; Saccharomycetes; Saccharomycetales.
CUUCGCCGGGAUGCUCAGUAGCGGCGAGUGAGCGGCAGAGCCCACGUUUGAAUCCCUCGGGAGUUGUAGCGGUUGCGGUGGCGGAGUCCAAGUCCCCUGGAAUGGGGCGCGGUACAGGGUGAGAGCCCCGUGGACAGGCCUGCGCGACGUUGUGAGUCGAGUUGUUUGGGAAUGCAGCUCCAAGGGGUGGUAUGCUCCAUCCAAGGCUAAAUAGUGGCGAGAGACCGAUAGCGAACAAGUACUGUGAAGGAAAGA